AUUCAGAUAGCUUAUACAGAGCGUAACAUUGAAGUUGUUGAGGAAACUAAAGUUUCUGGAUA
RNAcentral lists this transfer RNA (62 nucleotides) under Tenebrionoidea sp. 15 KM-2017. Its description in RNAcentral is "tRNA-Phe". Lineage: Eukaryota; Metazoa; Arthropoda; Insecta; Coleoptera. The record is from RNAcentral.